AUGGACAAGGGAUCCAGUUGGGGUGAAGGUGCUGAGCUCCCCUCUGCUGCCUGAGGAUCCAGUCCUGAGCCCAGGGUGCAACUAAUCUGAACUCCAGAAUCCAUUUCAAGCAAACUCCAUCUCAGGGCUUUGGAUGCUGCAGCAACAAGGCAAAGGAUCCAUGCAGGGGGUGGUCUGAGAGUGCCCAACCUCGUCACACACACAGGAUGCUUCAGUGCCAACAUCUGGUGUUUUUCAGAGGGACUCCGGAAGGGAAGGAACAUCCUGCCCCUGACAUCUCCACUGAGCCAUAUUAUUAGUUUUGGUGAUUAAAUCGAAGCCCAUUUGCAGGUGACAAUGCUGUAAAAAUAAGUAGGUACCAGAGCCGACAUUGUGAAAACGAGGCAGGAGCACAGAGCUCAGGCAGCAUACAUAAUCCGUGGGGAAAUAAGUGUGUGAAUAAUGAAUGGGCACUGGAAAAAUAAAAUACAUUAUUGUGGUAAAGAUAAGUCUAUUAAA
This is a long non-coding RNA of Pipra filicauda (Wire-tailed manakin), 498 nucleotides long. RefSeq lists it as uncharacterized. The transcript is spliced from 2 exons. NCBI's taxonomy places the organism in Eukaryota, Metazoa, Chordata, Aves, Passeriformes, Pipridae. The record is from RefSeq and is a predicted model, not a curated record.